Molecule: ribosomal RNA, 434 nt
Filed under: uncultured Lachnospiraceae bacterium
Lineage: Bacteria; Bacillati; Bacillota; Clostridia; Lachnospirales; Lachnospiraceae
Description: partial 16S ribosomal RNA
Rfam family: Bacterial small subunit ribosomal RNA
Source: RNAcentral
ACGGAAGGCAGCAGUGGGGAAUAUUGCACAAUGGGCGCAAGCCUGAUGCAGCGACGCCGCGUGAGCGAAGAAGUAUUUCGGUAUGUAAAGCUCUAUCAGCAGGGAAGAAAAUGACGGUACCUGACUAAGAAGCUCCGGCUAAAUACGUGCCAGCAGCCGCGGUACUACGUAUGGAGCAAGCGUUAUCCGGAUUUACUGGGUGUAAAGGGAGCGUAGACGGAACAGCAAGUCUGAUGUGAAAGGCAGGGGCUCAACUCCUGGACUGCAUUGGAAACUGCUGAUCUUGAGUGCCGGAGAGGUAAGCGGAAUUCCUAGUGUAGCGGUGAAAUGCGUAGAUAUUAGGAGGAACACCAGUGGCGAAGGCGGCUUACUGGACGGUAACUGACGUUGAGGCUCGAAAGCGUGGGGAGCAAACAGGAUUAGAUACCCUGGUA